Molecule: ribosomal RNA, 490 nt
Filed under: uncultured bacterium
Lineage: Bacteria
Description: partial 16S ribosomal RNA
Rfam family: Bacterial small subunit ribosomal RNA
Source: RNAcentral
AUUGAACGCUGGCGGCAGGCCUAACACAUGCAAGUCGAACGGUAACAGGAAGAAGCUUGCUUCUUUGCUGACGAGUGGCGGACGGGUGAGUAAUGUCUGGGAAACUGCCUGAUGGAGGGGGAUAACUACUGGAAACGGUAGCUAAUACCGCAUAACGUCGCAAGACCAAAGAGGGGGACCUUCGGGCCUCUUGCCUUCGGCUGUGCCCAGAUGGGAUUAGCUAGUAGGUGGGGUAACGGCUCACCUAGGCGACGAUCCCUAGCUGGUCUGAGAGGAUGACCAGCCACACUGGAACUGAGACACGGUCCAGACUCCUACGGGAGGCAGCAGUGGGGAAUAUUGCACAAUGGGCGCAAGCCUGAUGCAGCCAUGCCGCGUGAAUGAAGAAGGCCUUCGGGUUGUAAAGUACUUUCAGCGGGGAGGAAGGGAGUAAAGUUAAUACCUUUGCUCAUUGACGUUACCCGCAGAAGAAGCACCGGCUAACUCCGUG